Molecule: ribosomal RNA, 450 nt
Filed under: uncultured bacterium
Lineage: Bacteria
Description: partial 16S ribosomal RNA
Rfam family: Bacterial small subunit ribosomal RNA
Source: RNAcentral
GUGGGGAAUUUUGGACAAUGGGCGCAAGCCUGAUCCAGCAAUGCCGCGUGCAGGAAGAAGGCCUUCGGGUUGUAAACUGCUUUUGUACGGAACGAAACGGUCCUGGUUAAUACCUGGGGCUAAUGAUGGUACCGUAAGAAUAAGCACCGGCUAACUACGUGCCAGCAGCCGCGGUAAUACGUAGGGUGCAAGCGUUAAUCGGAAUUACUGGGCGUAAAGCGUGCGCAGGCGGUUUUGUAAGACAGGCGUGAAAUCCCCGGGCUCAACCUGGGAAUUGCGCUUGUGACUGCAAGGCUGGAGUGCGGCAGAGGGGGAUGGAAUUCCGCGUGUAGCAGUGAAAUGCGUAGAUAUGCGGAGGAACACCGAUGGCGAAGGCAAUCCCCUGGGCCUGCACUGACGCUCAUGCACGAAAGCGUGGGGAGCAAACAGGAUUAGAUACCCGUGUAGUCC